Molecule: ribosomal RNA, 329 nt
Filed under: uncultured eukaryote
Lineage: Eukaryota
Description: partial 18S ribosomal RNA
Rfam family: Eukaryotic small subunit ribosomal RNA
Source: RNAcentral
CCCUUAGAUGUUCUGGGCCGCACGCGCGCUACACUGACGGAGGCAGCGAGCGUGUCCUUCGCCGGCAGGUGCGGGCAAUCUUGCGAGUCUCCGUCGUGCUGGGGAUAGAUGGUUGCAAUUGUCGAUCUUGAACGAGGAAUUCCUAGUAAGCGCGAGUCAUCAGCUCGCGCUGAUUACGUCCCUGCCCUUUGUACCCACCGCCCGUCGCUACUACAGAGUGCCCGUGUCCAAGAAACGGUCGGACCUGUGCGGCCUCUCCGGGCGACCGGAGGGCCGUUACGGGGAAGACCCUUUAUUUGACGCGGGUCGAUGAAGUAAAAGUCGUAACA